UAAAUUUAUUGAAUAAUGGCGUAAAUUGUGGAAAUUUGAAUAAUGGCAUGGUUACUUGAUUGGGGUUAAUGUGAUAUCAUUAUUUGUGAAAGGGAACAAGUGUUAUUAAUGUGUAUGCAUGUAUACAAGUGUGGGUGGGUAGUAUGGAAUAAUUUUUCCUCUUUCUUUUUCUAUUUCAGCCGACACACAUAUCAUCUCUCCCUCUCUCUCUAAACUCUCAUCCGGCUCUCUCUCGCCUCUCACCCCUCCAUCAACUUCUCUCCUAAAUUUCAUCUUCUUAGAGUAAGAUUCCGGACAAAGUCCGAGAAUUAAAGUUGUUCUACGGAGCACGGGCUUUCCGAAUAUCCAAGAAAAAUCAUGAUCGGACCACGUGGGAGUUCGGUUGACUUGGUCAAAGGUUCGGGUUUUGCUCAAAACCCACGAGGUGCAAAAAUAAGAAAGUUGGCAUGACGUGCAUAUUGUGCUUGUUGAUCAAGACUUUCAAAGGUAUAAAAGAGGCGAUUACUUGCAUUUGAUUUGAAAGAAGUAUUUUGGAAAGGCAUUUGUUGCAACUGUAAGAUUAUUUUCUUCGGUCAUUGGCAUUUCGAUAACUUGGGGCCAAUGAGCCAAAAAUGUAAUAUCUGAAUCUUGUUUGAGAACAGAAGAAAGGAAGAUCUUUUGGGUAUUAA
Long non-coding RNA from Rhododendron vialii, 668 nucleotides. RefSeq lists it as uncharacterized. The record is from RefSeq and is a predicted model, not a curated record. NCBI's taxonomy places the organism in Eukaryota, Viridiplantae, Streptophyta, Magnoliopsida, Ericales, Ericaceae. The transcript is spliced from 2 exons.